AGGAGCUUGCUCCUGAUGGCGAGUGGCGAACGGGUGAGUAAUAUAUCGGAACGUGCCCUAGAGUGGGGGAUAACUAGUCGAAAGAUUAGCUAAUACCGCAUACGAUCUACGGAUGAAAGUGGGGGAUCGCAAGACCUCAUGCUCCUGGAGCGGCCGAUAUCUGAUUAGCUAGUUGGUGGGGUAAAAGCCUACCAAGGCGACGAUCAGUAGCUGGUCUGAGAGGACGACCAGCCACACUGGGACUGAGACACGGCCCAGACUCCUACGGGAGGCAGCAGUGGGGAAUUUUGGACAAUGGGGGCAACCCUGAUCCAGCAAUGCCGCGUGAGUGAAGAAGGCCUUCGGGUUGUAAAGCUCUUUUGUCAGGGAAGAAACGGUGAGAGCUAAUAUCUCUUGCUAAUGACGGUACCUGAAGAAUAAGCACCGGCUAACUACGUGCCAGCAGCCGCGGUAAUACGUAGGGUGCAAGCGUUAAUCGGAAUUACUGGGCGUAAAGCGUGCGCAGGCGGUUGUGUAAGUCAGAUGUGAAAUCCCCGGGCUCAACCUGGGAAUUGCAUUUGAGACUGCACGGCUAGAGUGUGUCAGAGGGGGGUAGAAUUCCACGUGUAGCAGUGAAAUGCGUAGAUAUGUGGAGGAAUACCGAUGGCGA
This 649-nucleotide ribosomal RNA is filed under the name Herbaspirillum sp. G-QH-1028. Its description in RNAcentral is "bacterial SSU rRNA". It matches the Rfam family "Bacterial small subunit ribosomal RNA", at positions 74 to 718 of the family's 1533-position model. The record is from RNAcentral. Lineage: Bacteria; Pseudomonadati; Pseudomonadota; Betaproteobacteria; Burkholderiales; Oxalobacteraceae.